UAGUGGCAGACGGGUGAGUAAUGCGUAGGAAUCUACCUAGUAGUACGGAAUAGCCAUUAGAAAUGGUGGGUAAUACUGUAUAAUCCCCGAGGGGGAAAGAUUUAUCGCUAUUAGAUGAGCCUACGUUAGAUUAGCUAGUUGGUGAGGUAAUGGCUUACCAAGGCUAUGAUCUAUAGCUGGUCUGAGAGGACGAUCAGCCACACUGGAACUGAGAUACGGUCCAGACUCCUACGGGAGGCAGCAGUGGGGAAUAUUGGACAAUGGGCGAAAGCCUGAUCCAGCUAUGCCGCGUGAGUGAAGAAGGCCUUCGGGUUGUAAAACUCUUUCAAUAGGGAAGAUAAUGCCGGGUAC
Molecule: ribosomal RNA, 351 nt
Filed under: Ehrlichia canis
Lineage: Bacteria; Pseudomonadati; Pseudomonadota; Alphaproteobacteria; Rickettsiales; Anaplasmataceae
Description: bacterial SSU rRNA
Rfam family: Bacterial small subunit ribosomal RNA
Source: RNAcentral